UAAUACGGAGGGUGCAAGCGUUAUCCGGAAUUAUUGGGCGUAAAGCGUCCGCAGGCGGUUUGUUAAGUCAGAUAUUAAAUCUCGGGGCCCAACUCCGAGGCUGUAUCUGAAACUGGCUAACUAGAGUCUUUCAGGGGUGCGUGGAAUUCUGUGUGUAGGGGUAAAAUCCGUAGAUACACAGAGGAACACCAAAAGCGAAGGCAGCGCACUGGGAAAGUACUGACGCUCAUGGACGAAAGCGUGGGGAGCGAACGGG
Molecule: ribosomal RNA, 256 nt
Filed under: uncultured bacterium
Lineage: Bacteria
Description: partial 16S ribosomal RNA
Rfam family: Bacterial small subunit ribosomal RNA
Source: RNAcentral